Molecule: ribosomal RNA, 492 nt
Filed under: uncultured bacterium
Lineage: Bacteria
Description: partial 16S ribosomal RNA
Rfam family: Bacterial small subunit ribosomal RNA
Source: RNAcentral
AAUGAACGCUGGCGGCAUGCCUAACACAUGCAGGUCGAACGACAGCACACUAAGAGCUUGCUCUUAAGGGUGGCGGGUGGCGGGCGGGUGACGAGUGCAUCGGCAUCUUCUUUUUCGGGGAGGAUCUCGUAGUGACGCUUACGCUCAUACAUCAUAUGCUGUACCGGUGAAAGCAGUGGAACUUCUGACCUUGCGCGAUUGACUGAGCCGCUGUCGGAUUAGCUAGUUGGCGGGGUAAAGGCCCACCAAGGCGAGGAUCCGUAGCUGGACUGACAGGAUGAUCGGCCACACGGGAACUGAGACACGGUCCAGACUCCUACGGGAGGCAGCAGUGGGGAAUGUUAGGCAAUGGGCGCAAGCCUGACCCAGCCAGACCGCGUGGGUGAAGAAGGCCUUCGGUUCGUAAAGCCCUUUUUUUGGGAAAGAACAGCUGUAGGCUAAGACCAAGCUGUUGUGACGGUACCUAAAGAAGAAGCACCGGCUAACUACGUG